GGACUACUGGGGUAUCUAAUCCUGUUUGCUCCCCACGCUUUCGUGCAUGAGCGUCAGUGUUGGCCCAGGGGGCUGCCUUCGCCAUCGGUGUUCCUCCGCAUAUCUACGCAUUUCACUGCUACACGCGGAAUUCCACCCCCCUCUGCCAGACUCUAGCUUGCCAGUCACAAAUGCAGUUCCCAGGUUGAGCCCGGGGAUUUCACAUCUGUCUUAACAAACCGCCUGCGCACGCUUUACGCCCAGUAAUUCCGAUUAACGCUUGCACCCUACGUAUUACCGCGGCUGCUGGCAC
This 292-nucleotide ribosomal RNA is filed under the name uncultured bacterium. RNAcentral describes it as "partial 16S ribosomal RNA". The record is from RNAcentral.